GAUGAACGCUGGCGGCGUGCCUAAUACAUGCAAGUCGAGCGAACAGACGAGGAGCUUGCUCCUCUGACGUUAGCGGCGGACGGGUGAGUAACACGUGGAUAACCUACCUAUAAUACUGGGAUAACUUCGGGAAACCGGAGCUAAUACCGUAUAAUAUAUUGAACCGCAUGGUUCAAUAGUGAAAUACUUUUUUGCUGUCACUUAUAGAUGGAUCCGCGCCGCAUUAGCUAGUUGGUAAGGUAACGGCUUACCAAGGCGACGAUGCGUAGCCGACCUGAGAGGGUGAUCGGCCACAAUGGAACUGAGACACGGUCCAGACUCCUACGGGAGGCAGCAGUAGGGAAUCUUGCGCAAUGGGCGAAAGCCUGACGGAGCAACGCCGCGUGAGUGAUGAAGGUCUUCGGAUCGUAAAACUCUGUUAUGAGGGAAGACCAAAUGUGUAAGUAACUAUGCACGUCUUGACGGUACCUAAUCAGAAAGCCACGGCUAACUACGUG
Molecule: ribosomal RNA, 497 nt
Filed under: uncultured bacterium
Lineage: Bacteria
Description: partial 16S ribosomal RNA
Rfam family: Bacterial small subunit ribosomal RNA
Source: RNAcentral